CCCGCCCCGCCCCCUACACGGACCGGGGCAGGAUGUUCUGGCCCUCAGCCUGCGCCCGGCGAGCCGGCGCUUCUAUUCUGGAUGCCUGCUCCUAGCGUGGAGCUGCUCUACUUGACUGCUCUGUGUGCGAAAUUCCUGAAAAGGAUGCGAGUCAAAGCUAUGGUUUUUCCAGAAGUCAUGUAUGAAUGUGAGAGUUGGACCAUAAAGAAGGCUGAGUGCCGAAGACCUGAUGCUUUCAAGCUGGGUGCUGGAGAAGACUCUUGAGAGUCCCUUGGACAACAAGGAGAUUAAGCCAGUCAAUCCUAAGGGAAAUCAACCCUGAAGAGGACAUUGGACAGAAUGAUGCUGAAGCUCCAAAACUUUGGCCACCUGAUGUGAAGAGCUGACUCAGUGGAAAAGACCCUGAUAAUGGGGAAGAUUGAAGGCAUGAGGAGAAGGGGAUGGCAGAGAUGGUUGGAUGGUAUCACUGACUUAAUGGGCACGAGUUUCAGCAAGCUCUGGAAGAUAGUGAAGGACAGAGAAGCCUGACCUGCUGCAGUUCAUGGGGUCGAAAAGAGUUGGACACAACUGAGUGACUAAACAAAAUUCAUACCACAUGAUGAGACAAGCUAGUGUGGUUGAAAAAGCAGAGACUGCAGAGAGAUAGGCUUUGGUUUAUAUGUCAUCUCUGCUAUUUCCCUACUGGGUCAAAUUACUCAAUAAUGCCCCUACUGCUGCUGCUGCUGCUGCAAAGUCACUUCAGCCAUGUCCGACUCUGUGCGACCCCAUAGACGGCAGCCCACCAGGCUCCUCCGUCCCUGGGAUUCUCCAGUGACUAGAAGCACAUGCCUGGGCUUGCCUGCUGGUCUCAGAAGGAAGGUGACAAACAUGUGGAGCGGAGACUUCCCAGUUAAGGUGCGGCAACCAAGCUCAGCUUGAAGCUGAAUCCCCGUCGGCUCACAGACACAUUGAUGAGUCUAGCCCAGAUAGCAGACCUCCAACCAACC
This is a long non-coding RNA of Bos taurus (domestic cattle), 986 nucleotides long. The record is from Ensembl. NCBI's taxonomy places the organism in Eukaryota, Metazoa, Chordata, Mammalia, Artiodactyla, Bovidae.